GAACGCACCUUGCGCUCCUUGGUAUUCCGAGGAGCAUGCCUGUUUGAGUGUCAUUAAAUUCUCAACCCUACAAGUUUUUUUCGAACCUGUAUGGCUUGGAUCAUGGGAACUGCGGGCUUGGAUAAAGUCGGCUUUCCUUAAAUGUAUUAGCAGAACUUUUGUUGCUAACCUCUGGUGUGAUAAUUAUCUACGCUAUUGAGAGGCGACAUGUUAAAGUACUGCUUCUAAUCGUCUGUCACGGACAACAUUUGACAAUCUGACCUCAAAUCAGGUAGGACUACCCGCUGAACUUAAG
RNAcentral lists this unclassified non-coding RNA (295 nucleotides) under Clitopilus prunulus. Its description in RNAcentral is "sequence contains 5.8S rRNA gene". The stretch from base 1 to 53 matches the Rfam family "5.8S ribosomal RNA", at positions 102 to 154 of the family's 154-position model. Lineage: Eukaryota; Fungi; Basidiomycota; Agaricomycetes; Agaricales; Entolomataceae. The record is from RNAcentral.